AGUGAACGCUGGCGGUAGGCCUAACACAUGCCAGUCGAACGGCAGCACAGUAAGAGCUUGCUCUUACGGGUGGCGAGUGGCGGACGGGUGAGGAAUACAUCGGAAUCUACUUUUUCGUGGGGGAUAACGUAGGGAAACUUACGCUAAUACCGCAUACGACCUACGGGUGAAAGCAGGGGAUCUUCGGACCUUGCGCGAUUGAAUGAGCCGAUGUCGGAUUAGCUAGUUGGCGGGGUAAAGGCCCACCAAGGCGACGAUCCGUAGCUGGUCUGAGAGGAUGAUCAGCCACACUGGAACUGAGAAACGGUCCAGACUCCUAGGGGAGGCAGCAGUGGGGAAUAUUGGAAAAUGGGCGAAAGCCUGAUCAAGCCAUACCGGGUGGGUGAAGAAGGCCUUCGGGUGGUAAAGCCCUUUUGUUGGGAAAGAAAAGCAGCAGGUUAAUACCCCGCUGUUCUGACGGUACCAAAAGAAUAAGCACCGGCAAACUUCGU
This 491-nucleotide ribosomal RNA is filed under the name uncultured bacterium. Its description in RNAcentral is "partial 16S ribosomal RNA". It matches the Rfam family "Bacterial small subunit ribosomal RNA", at positions 29 to 506 of the family's 1533-position model. The record is from RNAcentral.